This 468-nucleotide ribosomal RNA is filed under the name uncultured bacterium. RNAcentral describes it as "partial 16S ribosomal RNA". It matches the Rfam family "Bacterial small subunit ribosomal RNA", at positions 28 to 507 of the family's 1533-position model. The record is from RNAcentral.
GACGAACGCUGGCGGCGUGCUUAACACAUGCAAGUCGAACGGAAAGGCCCUGCUUUUGUGGGGUGCUCGAGUGGCGAACGGGUGAGUAACACGUGAGUAACCUGCCCUUGACUUUGGGAUAACUUCAGGAAACUGGGGCUAAUACCGGAUAGGAGCUCCUGCUGCAUGGUGGGGGUUGGAAAGUUUCGGCGGUUGGGGAUGGACUCGCGGCUUAUCAGCUUGUUGGUGGGGUAGUGGCUUACCAAGGCUUUGACGGGUAGCCGGCCUGAGAGGGUGACCGGCCACAUUGGGACUGAGAUACGGCCCAGACUCCUACGGGAGGCAGCAGUGGGGAAUAUUGCACAAUGGGCGGAAGCCUGAUGCAGCAACGCGGCGUGCGGGAUGACGGCCUUCGGGUUGUAAACCGCUUUCGACUGUGACGAAGCGUGAGUGACGGUAAUGGGUAAGGAAGCACCGGCUAACUAUGUG